This 253-nucleotide ribosomal RNA is filed under the name uncultured bacterium. Its description in RNAcentral is "partial 16S ribosomal RNA". It matches the Rfam family "Bacterial small subunit ribosomal RNA", at positions 524 to 776 of the family's 1533-position model. The record is from RNAcentral.
UACGUAGGGGGCAAGCGUUGUCCGGAAUUACUGGGCGUAAAGCGUGCGCAGGCGGUUCGUUGUGUCUGUGGUGAAAGCCCCGGGCUUAACCUGGGAAUGGCCAUGGAAACUGGCGAGCUGGAGUGUGGCAGAGGGGGGUGGAAUUCCGCGUGUAGCAGUGAAAUGCGUAGAGAUGCGGAGGAACACCGAUGGCGAAGGCAGCCCCCUGGGUUGACACUGACGCUCAGGCACGAAAGCGUGGGGAGCAAACAGG